RNAcentral lists this ribosomal RNA (267 nucleotides) under uncultured bacterium. RNAcentral describes it as "partial 16S ribosomal RNA". It matches the Rfam family "Bacterial small subunit ribosomal RNA", at positions 793 to 1055 of the family's 1533-position model. The record is from RNAcentral.
GUCCACGCCGUAAACGAUGAGUGCUAGAUGUUUCUGGUAUUGACCCCGGAGGCGUCGUAGCUAACGCGUUAAGCACUCCGCCUGGGGAGUACGGCCGCAAGGCUAAAACUCAAAGGAAUUGACGGGGGCCCGCACAAGCGGUGGAGCAUGUGGUUCAAUUCGACGCAACGCGAAGAACCUUACCUGGGUUGGAACCCUCCAGAAGUCCGCAGAGAUGUGGAUGUGCCCGCAAGGGAAUUGGAUGUCCAGGUGCUGCAUGGCUGUCGU